Molecule: transfer RNA, 89 nt
Filed under: Candidatus Aminicenantota bacterium
Lineage: Bacteria; Candidatus Aminicenantota
Description: Candidatus Aminicenantes bacterium tRNA-Ser
Rfam family: tRNA
About the family: Transfer RNA (tRNA) molecules are approximately 80 nucleotides in length. Their secondary structure includes four short double-helical elements and three loops (D, anti-codon, and T loops).
Source: RNAcentral
GGAGGGGUGCCGGAGCGGUUGAACGGGACGGUCUCGAAAAUCGUUGUGGGGAGUGAUCCCCAUCCAGGGUUCGAAUCCCUGCCCCUCCG